ACUCCUACGGGAGGCAGUAGUGGGGAAUAUUGCACAAUGGGCGCAAGCCUGAUGCAGCCAUGCCNCGGUGUGUGAAGAAGGCCCUUCGGGUUGUAAAGCACUUUCAGUCGUGAGGAAGGUAGUGUAGUUAAUAGCUGCAUUAUUUGACGUUAGCGACAGAAGAAGCACCGGCUAACUCCGUGCCCAGCACCGCGGUAAUACGGAGGGUGCGAGCGUUAAUCGGAAUUACNGGGCGUAAAGCGCAUGCAGGUGGUUUGUUAAGUCAGAUGUGAAAGCCCGGGGCUCAACCUCGGAAUUGCAUUUG
RNAcentral lists this ribosomal RNA (304 nucleotides) under uncultured bacterium. Its description in RNAcentral is "bacterial SSU rRNA". It matches the Rfam family "Bacterial small subunit ribosomal RNA", at positions 335 to 629 of the family's 1533-position model. The record is from RNAcentral.